Molecule: long non-coding RNA, 3800 nt
Organism: Accipiter nisus (Eurasian sparrowhawk)
Lineage: Eukaryota; Metazoa; Chordata; Aves; Accipitriformes; Accipitridae
Source: Ensembl
UGCACAAUAUGAAGUGUACAAGCCCAACAUCUUUGACAUAAAAAAAUAAGCAAACUAGCUGAUUUUGCUCCUAACAUCCAUAACUGAUGCAAUUUAAACACUUCUCUGAGAGCGUAUUUAAGAAAACAGGAAGCAGUGUACAAGUGUUACUCAUGCAAGCCUAUUUCAAGAGAUUCUUUGAACACAGUUAUUGAUAGGUUUUUCUUACAUAACAUAUGCAAAAUAUAAUUGAAAUUAAAUUAAGUGUCAGCAUGACACCAUUAAACAGCUCACAUUGCCAUCUUCUAAGACAACUACUCAGAGCAGUAACUUCAUAAUCAGGAAAUUACCCACUCUUUUCUUUCUUUCUUUUUUUUUUUUUUUUUUUUAAUAUUUUAGACAAAUAAAGGUGAUGCCCUUGCAAACCGUGUCCAGAACACAUUGGGAAAUUACGAUGAGAUGAAGGACCUGUUAACCAACCAUUCCAACCAGAGCCACCUUGUAGGAAUCCCAAAGAAUUCUGUCCCACAGACACCCAUUGACAAAAAUGAACAGAAUUUUUUCCCAGAACCAAGAAACAGGAUGAUCCCAUCUCAUCAGAUCAGUGGCCACUCAUCGACAUCAAUGCCUCCACCUUCUUCGUUGUCAUCUAAUUCUACUUUGCUACACAGUCACCAGAGCAGCAGGAAGUCGAGGACAGACUGGUCACGUGGUGGUCACAACUCUAGUGGGGCCCAGCCAAGCCAAUCCAGUAGUCAGCAGAGUCGGACAAAGCAUAGCUCUUCUCAUGAGCAGCCACAGGGCAGGUAUGAAGACCUCUAUAAUUGUCAGAGUGAGCAGCAUAAAAGCGGAGGAACUGAGGAAGCAAAUUCUAUGGCAGCAUCUUCACAUUCGAGGAGGCAUACUCAUUCAAAGUCAGCACCUGGAGAACAUACUUACAAAGAAAACAGUCAUUCGAAGUCACCCACAGAGCUUGAGUUUGUAGGUCAUGGUCCUGGAUCUCCACUCCCUUCCACUUCUUUGUUAUCUGCGAACAAUGGUCUUUCGACCCAGAAUUUCCCACCAGGACUUCACUGUAAAAACAGCAUGGUCCAGCAAAAGCCUACAGCAUACGUCAGGCCUAUGGACGGUCAGGACCAGGUGCCCAAUGACUCACCUGAACUGAAACCUCCGAUAGAAAUUGAGAGUGGAUAUGGAAAUCAGUCCUUUGGAACACUGCUGGAAGGAAAGGUGAACACACCUAGUUCGAAGAACAAAGUACCAAAGCUCAACAUUCCUCCUGUUAGUGAAGUUACUCUUCCCAAUGACUCCAGCUGUGUGGAAGAAAUAUUACGGGAGAUGACCCAUUCCUGGCCUCCUCCUCUUACUGCUAUUCACACUCCUGGCAAGGCUGAGCAGACCAAGUUUUCUAUCCCAAGCAAGGACUCCCAACACCUGACCUCAGGAUACAAUGUACAAAAGUGGAGUGAUCCAGCAGGGAAAGUUGCAACUAAGUCAGUGCCACAAAAGUCAAUGCUUGAGGAUGAUCUGAAACUCAGCAGUGAUGAAGAUGACAAUGAACAGGCUGCUGAAAAGACAAAGUUGAGAAACAUUCCUGUAAACAGCCUGCCGGUGCCGGCGGCACAUGCAACUGGCUUGGCCCAUUCCAGCGGUGGCUCCGGGAGCUCCAGCGAGUCCGAGAGCAGCUCCGAGUCCGACUCCGACAGCGAGAGCAGCUCCAGUGACAGCGAGUGCAAUGAGGAGUCACGCAGUGCCACGCCAGAGCCUGAACCUCCCUCAACAAACAAAUGGCAGCUGGAUAAAUGGCUAAAUAAAGUGAACCCCCACAACAAGACCAUCAUCAACAAUCAAAAUGAGCCUCACAGCGAGACCAGCUCCCAGGCCCAGAGCAACCAGCAGGCCGAAGGGCCAAACAAAGGGAAGCUCAACAGCAGCCUGCCCCCGACCGAUUCCAAAGACCGGGCGAUCCUUAGUCCCAUCCGAGAGAAAGCCAAACCGCGGGUUGCCCAGAAAACCCCAGAGGCAAAAAGCUCCAAGCAGAAGUCACCAGCUCAUAAUGAGCCCACUUCGCAAAGGACUACUGGGAAAAAGCAACCCAAAAAGGUAGAAAGGACUUCCAGUGUAGAAGAGUAUAACUGGCCCAAACCAAAUAAUACCAGCAACACUCCCAAAGAAAAAGACACACAGGAACCCCCUGAGCAGCCAAAGGUUCGAACUAAAGCAGCAGUUGGGAAGACCGCUCCAAGGAAAGAACCACGAACUAGCACAGGUCUCACUUCAGAGAAGAAAAAGUACAGAGGCCCCAGCAAAAUUGUCCCUAAGUCCCGGGAAUUCAUUGAAACAGAUUCAUCUACUUCUGACUCAAAUACAGACCAGGAGGAGAGCUUGCAGGCUAAGGUGUUGCCAGCUUGCACUGGGUCUGGCAAUGGCGCCAAAGUGAAGGACUCUGGCAGUAACAUCCUCAGCGUAAGUAGUUUAACUAGCAAUGGCAGCAACACAUCCAUUGACCAGACCAGCAAUGACUUGGAGGAGCAGCUCUUUUCUCCUAUCCCAAUCGUACAAAAUGAACUUCUGUCCCCACUGAGAGAAUAUGAAGAACUCAAAUCUCUGUGGGUGAAAAUAGACCUUAGCUUACUCUCUAGGAUACCUGGACAAGAGCCUUUUGAGACCACGUCUGUGAAAAGUGAACCGAGAGAGGCAAAUGUGAAACACAGGCGACCGUCUCGAGAGUCUCCUACCCCAGCAGCUGAAAAACCAUCCACAAAAUCCAAAAGGAAACACAAGCAAACAGAAAGCCUGGAUACCUUUGUUGAAAGCAAGAAGCAGCGCCUGGAGGACCCUUCAGCUUCAUGCCUGCUCCCACCUUGUAUCUCUCCGAUACCGAAUCACAGAUUAACCAGCACUAAAGAUAGCUCAGUGAAGAAGGUGGCAAAGAAAAGAGAAGAGAAGCUGUUUCCUCCUCCAUUAUCCCCCCUUUUGGAUGAGCCUGUGCACCGGCGGCACAGUAGUGACAACGGCUCCUUCAGCCAAGAGACCAACAUCACAAACACCUCUCAGACCAGCAGCUCUUCCUCCUCUGUUUCUAAACACAGAAAGAAUGAAAAUAAAUCCUCUUCUAACCCCAAAGGAAUCUGUGUAAGUAACCGACCUCAGAUGCUGGAAGAGGAAGAAUCUCACAAUACACCAACAGCCAACACUCUUCUUGACACCAGCCACCUAGAAACAGACAUCUGGUCUGCAAUGCCAACACUUUCCAAUGGGAAUUCUGAGCCCAGAAGACCCAAAAUAACAUUUGAUGAUGUGCUUCACAAUGCGGAUUAUUACAUGCAAGAGGCUAAGAAGCUAAAGCAUAAAGCAGAUGCAUUGCUGGAGAAGUUUGGCAAAGCAGUGAAUUAUGCUGAUGCUGCCCUCUCCUUCAUCGAGUGCGGGAAUGCUAUGGAGCGAGAUCCAUUAGAAGCUAAAUCUCCAUACACCAUGUACUCAGAGACUGUGGAACUCAUCAGGUAUGCAAUGAGACUCAAGAAUUUCACAGGCUCUUCUGCCACGGAAGGGGACAAGAAAUUAGCAGUUUUAUGCUACCGAUGCUUAUCGCUUCUCUACUUGAGAAUGUUUAAACUAAAGAAGGACCAUGCUAUGAAGUACUCCAGAUCUCUGAUGGAAUAUUUUAAGGUAAUCUUUAUUCUAUUUAAUUUAUAGAUAUGAAAUGAAAUUCAUACCAGCACUGAGAGCUCUCACAAGUAUAACUGCGUGACUUAAAAGUCCCACAUUUAACCUCUCCCCUGGGAAAUGCAGGCAGGAUGGCUGCCAGGGACUGGGGACAG